This 386-nucleotide ribosomal RNA is filed under the name uncultured prokaryote. Its description in RNAcentral is "bacterial SSU rRNA". It matches the Rfam family "Archaeal small subunit ribosomal RNA", at positions 339 to 725 of the family's 1478-position model. The record is from RNAcentral.
GCGCGAAAACUUUACAAUGCGGGGAACCGCGAUAAGGGGACACCGAGUGCCAGCAUCCUAUGUUGGCUGUCCAUAUGUCUAAAUCACAUGUGUUAGCAAGGGCCGGGCAAGACCGGUGCCAGCCGCCGCGGUAACACCGGCGGCCCGAGUGGCGGCCACUAUUAUUGGGUCUAAAGGGUCCGUAGCCGGUUUGGUCAGUCUUCCGGGAAAUCUGACGGCUUAACCGUUAGGCUUUCGGGGGAUACUACCAGGCUUGGGACCGGGAGAGGUAAGAGGUACUACGGGGGUAGGAGUGAAAUCUUGUAAUCCCUGUGGGACCACCAGUGGCGAAGGCGUCUUACCAGAACGGGUCCGACGGUGAGGGACGAAAGCUGGGGGCACGAACC